AUUGAACGCUAGCGGGAUGCUUUACACAUGCAAGUCGAACGGCAGCGCGGACUUCGGUCUGGCGGCGAGUGGCGAACGGGUGAGUAAUGUAUCGGAACGUGCCCAGUAGCGGGGGAUAACUACGCGAAAGCGUAGCUAAUACCGCAUACGCCCUACGGGGGAAAGCAGGGGAUCGUAAGACCUUGCACUAUUGGAGCGGCCGAUAUCGGAUUAGCUAGUUGGCGAGGUAACGGCUCACCAAGGCGACGAUCCGUAGCUGGUUUGAGAGGACGACCAGCCACACUGGGACUGAGACACGGCCCAGACUCCUACGGGAGGCAGCAGUGGGGAAUUUUGGACAAUGGGGGCAACCCUGAUCCAGCCAUCCCGCGUGUGUGAUGAAGGCCUUCGGGUUGUAAAGCACUUUUGGCAGGAAAGAAACGUCGCGGGCUAAUACCCCGUGGAACUGACGGUACCUGCAGAAUAAGCACCGGCUAACUACGUG
RNAcentral lists this ribosomal RNA (484 nucleotides) under uncultured bacterium. RNAcentral's name for it is "partial 16S ribosomal RNA". It matches the Rfam family "Bacterial small subunit ribosomal RNA", at positions 30 to 507 of the family's 1533-position model. The record is from RNAcentral.